CUGGCGGAAUGCUUUACACAUGCAAGUCGAGCGGCAGCGCGGGGGCAACCCUGGCGGCGAGCGGCGAACGGGUGAGUAACACAUCGGAACGUACCCUGUCGUGGGGGAUAACGAAUCGAAAGAUUCGCUAAUACCGCAUACGACCUGAGGGUGAAAGCGGGGGAUCGCAAGACCUCGCGCGAGAGGAGCGGCCGAUGUCGGAUUAGCUAGUUGGUGAGGUAAAGGCUCACCAAGGCGACGAUCCGUAGCGGGUCUGAGAGGACGGCCCGCCACACUGGGACUGAGACACGGCCCAGACUCCUACGGGAGGCAGCAGUGGGGAAUUUUGGACAAUGGGGGCAACCCUGAUCCAGCCAUUCCGCGUGAGUGAAGAAGGCCUUCGGGUUGUAAAGCUCUUUCGGCAGGAACGAAACGGUGGAGGCUAAUAUCCUUCAUCAAUGACGGUACCUGUAGAAGAAGCACCGGCUAACUACGUGCCAGCAGCCGCGGUAAUACGUAGGGUGCGAGCGUUAAUCGGAAUUACUGGGCGUAAAGCGUGCGCAGGCGGUUUUGUAAGACAGAUGUGAAAUCCCCGGGCUUAACCUGGGAACUGCGUUUGUGACUGCAAGACUUGAGUGCGGCAGAGGGGGGUGGAAUUCCACGUGUAGCAGUGAAAUGCGUAGAGAUGUGGAGGAACACCGAUGGCGAAGGCAGCCCCCUGGGUCGACACUGACGCUCAUGCACGAAAGCGUGGGUAGCAAACAGGAUUAGAUACCCUGGUAGUCC
This 765-nucleotide ribosomal RNA is filed under the name uncultured bacterium. RNAcentral's name for it is "bacterial SSU rRNA". It matches the Rfam family "Bacterial small subunit ribosomal RNA", at positions 36 to 796 of the family's 1533-position model. The record is from RNAcentral.